GCCAGACUCCUACGGGAGGCAGCAGUGGGGAAUAUUGCACAAUGGGGGAAACCCUGAUGCAGCGACGCCGCGUGAGUGAAGAAGUAUCUCGGUAUGUAAAGCUCUAUCAGCAGGGAAGAAAAUGACGGUACCUGACUAAGAAGCCCCGGCUAACUCCGUGCCAGCAGCCGCGGUAAUACGGAGGGUGCAAGCGUUAUCCGGAUUUACUGGGUGUAAAGGGAGCGUAGACGGCAGUGCAAGUCCGGAGUGAAAGCCCGGGGCUCAACCCUGGGACUGCUCUGGAAACUGUAAAGCUGGAGCGCGGGAGGGGCAGGCGGAAUUCCUGGUGUAGCGGUGAAAUGCGUAGAUAUCAGGAGGAACACCGGCGGCGAAGGCGGCCUGCUGGACCGUAACUGACGUUGAGGCUCGAAAGCGUGGGGAGCAAACAGGAUUAGAUACCCGAGUA
This 445-nucleotide ribosomal RNA is filed under the name uncultured bacterium. RNAcentral's name for it is "bacterial SSU rRNA". It matches the Rfam family "Bacterial small subunit ribosomal RNA", at positions 330 to 792 of the family's 1533-position model. The record is from RNAcentral.